UGUGUCUCUUACCUGUUAACAUUGGCCACCAGUUGUUAUAAAGAUCACAUACCUAAAGAAGACAGAGUUGUAGAGAUUUAGGCAACAUCGAAAAAGGAUAAAAAUACUGACACCAAGACGUUAAAUGUCCAACAAGUCUGCAACUAAUAUUGCCAGGGCAGCAAGUCUUUGACUAUGAAAACAUGUCCUCAUACUGCGUGAUAGUGCCAUCGUCUCCUUUGAUGUUCUUCAGAUACAAGUGCUGGAAUGAGUAAAAAGCGGACAAUAAAAAACAUUGCAGGCAUAGUGAGUAAAAAACAGUAUGAUCAUGAACUAAUUACCUGAUAGCCUCAUAUAACCGAAUUACAAUCAUAUGAUUUGUUGCCGAGUGACCAUAAACAACCUGUCAGGAUAUUAAGGAUGCUCUCAACCUGUCUAAAUACACAGAGCCACACGGUGUCACAGUCCAUGUUUUCAGUGUGCGUUGGACUAACGAAUUGCUACCUCUGUCAGAUUCAAACAUGAUUGCAGCCUUGCAGCUGACAAAAUAAUACUCAUGUGCAGCAAAGGGAAAUUUUGUGACCAGCAUCCUAGUCAUCCAUGGAAAUACCCACGGGGUCGAAUUUCAUGACCAACAUCUACUCUGGAUGACCAUACUGUGAUUGACGAGCAGAAUCGCUUAUACACGAAAGUAAAGGUAAAAAUCCAGACCCAUGGGUGUUGUCUCUGGCUGGAAACCGCGGUGGUGAUAGUGGUCAUGGAUGAUGUUGUUGGGCUCGAGAUCUGCCUCCUCAGCCAGUUCCCCCAAUAGCAGCCGCUGGAACUCAUCGUGGUGAUGGUGGUGGUGGUCAUGAUUGUAAUCAUUGACCACAAGCUCUCAGAUGCAGACCAAAAAUAAAUAAAUAAGCAGAGGCGAGCACGACAGCGGCAUCAAGCAAAGAGGAGUACCUAGUGGUGGCAGGAAGAAGCCGAGUCGCCAGGAUCGGGCGGAUCGGGGAUGCCUCGUCAGUGGCGCGGCAGAGAGAAGGGGGCCGGUGACGAAGAUGGGGCGGUGGAGGAAAGGGUGGGAAAAGGGGAGGCAGAAGGACGGGGGCGGCGGCGGCGUCAGGGAGGAUGAGAGGAGGCGACGACGGCAAGAGGGAAGGGAGUCGUGGGAGAGACCCGUGCUAGGUCAUGACCCGUCUGGAUUGAUCGAGACGACUUGACCAACCAAUCCAGUCACGCCUUUUCUUUUCCCCAAUCGCGAACUACUGCGGAAGCAGUACGUCGGGCAACGUGGCAUGCGCGAGUGUCCGCACCUUACGCCACUGUUAAUGGGUUUGAUUGCUAUUCAGAAUGGAACCAAGACAAAUCAUCUCCACACAACUUCCAUUCCACAAAGUGUUGGAUAUUUGUGUGGUUUUCAACAUGGUUAUUAUUUAACACAAAGCACACACUACAACACCAUUCUUUUUACGAAGCAUCCAUAAGCUCCAUGACCUUCUUCACACUCGGCCGAUCCAUCAUGCAAUCAACCCACGCCUUCACAUGCGGAUACGCAUCGAGCACCGACGAGCAGGGGCUGGCCAGCAGGUUGUGAGCCAUGGGGCAAUGGCUGAGGUCGGACAGGCUGAUGAAAUCUCUGGCCAGGUACCGGGAUUUGGACAGACGCUCCUCGUAGACUCCGAGGGCCACCUUCAGCUUCUCCAGGUUCUCCUCGACGACCCUCUGGUUGGUCGUCCCGCCCAUGAACAUGGGCAUGACGAAGCACUGGAAGGUGAUCGCCGACAUGGCCCUGUCGAAGUUGUGGGACUCAGCUUCGAGCCAUGCGUCCACCGCCGCCGACUCGGCGAGGCUGUUUUCUCGGAAUAGAUCGGACACGCCUUUGCGGAGUACGUACCUUGAAAUCGCGCGCGACUCUGGGAUGACAAUAUAUAUAUACGAAAUAUAAAUCAUCUGAAUAAUGUUGUACAGAGCAAUUUGUUCAGUUUGCAGUGAGUCAAUUGUAAGAAACCACCACAUUUGUGGCUAGGUUUGCAGAAAACCACCAACUCAUUAAUCCGUUGCAAAAAACACCGCAAAAUCAUUUAAGUCGUUGCAAAAAGCACUGAUCGGGUGAUUUAGCCCGUUUGAUCACUUUCUGACAAGUGGGGCCUGGCUGUUAAGAGCUGACUUAGCAAAACAUUGACACACACACCCCCUAGAACUUUUAAAAAGUGCAAUCAGCCCCCUCGGUGUGGACAACCUCAGCGCACUGGCCCUGCUGUCUGAUUGGCAUGGCGGCGCCCUCGUCGGCGUCGGAGAUGGGUACGACCGCGAUAGAGGACAAGGAGGCGGCCGGGGUGUGCGCAUUUUCGAGGCGUUGGCCUGCCGGUGCUGAAGCGAUGUGGAGGACGCGUCGGAAGCCGAAGCAGAGGAGCGGCAGCCUCCUCUGAUGUGGUCGGCGAAGAGAGUGGAGGGGAGGAGGCGACGAGCUCCACCUGCUCGACAAGCCAUUCCUGUCACCCUCCUCCAUUGAAGAGGAUGAGCUCGAGCCGGAGCACCUGCUCUGGCGCUGCCAUGGCAGAAGCACUCGCGGCGUCUGCGCCAUCGAGGGAGGGAAGCGGGUGGGCUUCCAGCGGCGGCGACGGGAGCCAGUGGGGGCGGCGCGGUGACGGGAUCCAGCGGCGGCGAUGGGAGCCAGUAGGGGCGGCGCGGCGACGGGAGCCAGUGGGGGCGGCAACGGGAGCCGGUGGGGGCGGCGCGGAGACGGGAUCCGGUGACGGCAACAGGAGCCGGUGGGGGUGGUGCGGCGAUGGGAGCCGGUGGGAGCUGAUUGGAGCAAGGGACGGGGAUUGGGAGGGAGGGUUUGAUUGCUAUUCAUUUUUAGAUACAGGGGUGUGUAUGACAUUUGAUUGCCAAGUCAGCACCUUACAACUCGGUCCUACCUGUCAGAAAGUGAUUAAAUGAGCCAAAUCACCGGAUCAGUGCUUUUUUGCAACGACUUAAGUGAUUUUGUGGUGUUUUUUACAACGAAUUAACGAGUUGGUGGUUUUCUGUAAACCUAGCCACAAAUGUGGUGGUUUCUUGCAAUUGACUCGUUUGCAGUCUAUAGCUACACGAAAUGUUGUUCUUUCUGGGGUUUUCUUGUGUUUGUGUGUCGAUACGAGAUAUAUAGAAAUCUGAAUGAAUAUUUAUUCUCUCACCGAAAAGGAUGAGAUCGCCGUC
This 3165-nucleotide long non-coding RNA is filed under the name Triticum aestivum (bread wheat). Its description in RNAcentral is "long non-coding RNA (TAES_LNC015456)". Lineage: Eukaryota; Viridiplantae; Streptophyta; Magnoliopsida; Poales; Poaceae. The record is from RNAcentral.